This 68-nucleotide transfer RNA is filed under the name Gymnothorax rueppelliae (banded moray). RNAcentral describes it as "tRNA-Ser". Lineage: Eukaryota; Metazoa; Chordata; Actinopteri; Anguilliformes; Muraenidae. The record is from RNAcentral.
AAGGGAGACCGAAGUCUCGGGAAAGUGCUAAUUUUUCUAAGCCAUGGUUAGACCCCAUGGGUCCCUUG